CCUCUUCAGGCCUGCAGACAUAC
Molecule: non-coding RNA, 23 nt
Filed under: Cricetulus griseus (Chinese hamster)
Lineage: Eukaryota; Metazoa; Chordata; Mammalia; Rodentia; Cricetidae
Source: RNAcentral